CUUUGGGAUAACCCUCGGAAACGGGGGCUAAUACCGGAUAGGACCUGGCCCUGCAUGGGGUUGGGUGGAAAGUUUUUUCGGCUAGGGGUGGACUCGCGGCCUAUCAGCUUGUUGGUGGGGUGAUGGCCUACCAAGGCGACGACGGGUAGCCGGCCUGAGAGGGCGACCGGCCACACUGGGACUGAGACACGGCCCAGACUCCUACGGGAGGCAGCAGUGGGGAAUAUUGCACAAUGGGCGGAAGCCUGAUGCAGCGACGCCGCGUGAGGGAUGACGGCCUUCGGGUUGUAAACCUCUUUCAGCAGGGACGAAGCGUGAGUGACGGUACCUGCAGAAGAAGCGCCGGCCAACUACGUGCCAGCAGCCGCGGUAAGACGUAGGGUGCGAGCGUUGUCCGGAUUUAUUGGGCGUAAAGAGCUCGUAGGCGGCUUGUUGCGUCGACCGUGAAAACCCGGGGCUCAACUUCGGGCUUGCGGUCGAUACGGGCGGGCUAGAGUUCGGUAGGGGAGACUGGAAUUCCUGGUGUAGCGGUGAAAUGCGCAGAUAUCAGGAGGAACACCGGUGGCGAAGGCGGGUCUCUGGGCCGAUACUGACGCUGAGGAGCGAAAGCGUGGGGAGCGAACAGGAUUAGAUACCCUGGUAGUCCACGCUGUAAACGUUGGGCGC
RNAcentral lists this ribosomal RNA (666 nucleotides) under uncultured Micromonosporaceae bacterium. RNAcentral describes it as "bacterial SSU rRNA". It matches the Rfam family "Bacterial small subunit ribosomal RNA", at positions 136 to 816 of the family's 1533-position model. Lineage: Bacteria; Bacillati; Actinomycetota; Actinomycetes; Micromonosporales; Micromonosporaceae. The record is from RNAcentral.